This 253-nucleotide ribosomal RNA is filed under the name uncultured bacterium. Its description in RNAcentral is "partial 16S ribosomal RNA". It matches the Rfam family "Bacterial small subunit ribosomal RNA", at positions 524 to 776 of the family's 1533-position model. The record is from RNAcentral.
UACGUAGGGUGCAAGCGUUGUCCGGAAUUAUUGGGCGUAAAGAGCUCGUAGGCGGCUUGUCGCGUCGACUGUGAAAACCCGAGGCUCAACUUCGGGCUUGCAGUCGAUACGGGCAGGCUAGAGUUCGGUAGGGGAGACUGGAAUUCCUGGUGUAGCGGUGAAAUGCGCAGAUAUCAGGAGGAACACCGAUGGCGAAGGCAGCACUCUGGGACGUGACUGACGCUGAGACGCGAAAGCGUGGGGAGCAAACAGG